This 439-nucleotide ribosomal RNA is filed under the name uncultured bacterium. RNAcentral's name for it is "partial 16S ribosomal RNA". It matches the Rfam family "Bacterial small subunit ribosomal RNA", at positions 339 to 795 of the family's 1533-position model. The record is from RNAcentral.
CUACGGGUCGCAGCAGUGAGGAAUAUUGCACAAUGGGGGGAACCCUGAUGCAGCAACGCCGCGUGGAGGAUGACGCAUUUCGGUGUGUAAACUCCUUUUAUAUGUCAAGAAAAUGACGGUAGCAUAUGAAUAAGCACCGGCUAACUCCGUGCCAGCAGCCGCGGUAAUACGGAGGGUGCAAGCGUUACUCGGAAUCACUGGGCGUAAAGGACGCGUAGGCGGGCUUGUAAGUCAGGUGUGAAAUCCUACAGCUUAACUGUAGAACUGCACUUGAAACUACGAGCCUAGAGUAUGGGAGGGGGAGAUGGAAUUAGUGGUGUAGGGGUAAAAUCCGUAGAUAUCACUAGGAAUACCUAAAGCGAAGGCGACCUCCUGGAACAUAACUGACGCUAAGGCGUGAAAGCGUGGGGAGCAAACAGGAUUAGAUACCCCCGUAGUC